RNAcentral lists this transfer RNA (93 nucleotides) under Streptomyces sp. 1-11. RNAcentral describes it as "tRNA-Ala". The record is from RNAcentral. Lineage: Bacteria; Bacillati; Actinomycetota; Actinomycetes; Kitasatosporales; Streptomycetaceae.
GACCGGUUCUGGACCGGACGGUCACUGGACCCCGCACGGCCGGACCCCGCCGACCCCUGGCGGGCCCCGGCGGUCUCGGUGGCGGACCGGUCG